RNAcentral lists this transfer RNA (95 nucleotides) under Streptomyces cyaneofuscatus. Its description in RNAcentral is "tRNA-Pro(ggg)". The record is from RNAcentral. RNAcentral also lists the same sequence under 1 other name. Lineage: Bacteria; Bacillati; Actinomycetota; Actinomycetes; Kitasatosporales; Streptomycetaceae.
CGUCUCGCUCGGCCUGGUCGCCAAGACCAUCGCGUCCUGGGGCGACGAGGAGCAGAAGCGGCAGUGGCUGCCCCGGCUCACCUCCGGCGAGGCGA